Molecule: ribosomal RNA, 301 nt
Filed under: Bacillus sp. SR8.2
Lineage: Bacteria; Bacillati; Bacillota; Bacilli; Caryophanales; Bacillaceae
Description: bacterial SSU rRNA
Rfam family: Bacterial small subunit ribosomal RNA
Source: RNAcentral
UAUUAGAGCUUGCUCUUAAGAAGUUAGCGGCGGACGGGUGAGUAACACGUGGGUAACCUGCCCAUAAGACUGGGAUAACUCCGGGAAACCGGGGCUAAUACCGGAUAGCAUUUUGAACCGCAUGGUUCGAAAUUGAAAGGCGGCUUCGGCUGUCACUUAUGGAUGGACCCGCGUCGCAUUAGCUAGUUGGUGAGGUAACGGCUCACCAAGGCGACGAUGCGUAGCCGACCUGAGAGGGUGAUCGGCCACACUGGGACUGAGACACGGCCCAGACUCCUACGGGAGGCAGCAGUGGUCAUAG